Molecule: ribosomal RNA, 468 nt
Filed under: uncultured bacterium
Lineage: Bacteria
Description: partial 16S ribosomal RNA
Rfam family: Bacterial small subunit ribosomal RNA
Source: RNAcentral
GACGAACGCUGGCGGCGUGCUUAACACAUGCAAGUCGAACGGAAAGGCUCUGCCUUUGUGUGGUGCUCGAGUGGCGAACGGAGGAGUAACACGUGGGUAACCUGCCGUUUACUUUGGGCUUAAUUCAGGAAACUGGGGCUGAUACCGGAUAUGAGCUCCUACUGUAUGGUGGGGGGUGGGAAGGUUCGGCGGUUGGGGAUGGACUCGCGGCUUAUCAGCUUGUUGGUGGGGUUGUGGCUUACCAAGGCUUUGACGGGUAGCCGGCCUGAGAGGGUGACCGGCCACAUUGGGACUGAGAUACGGGCCAGACUCAUACGGGAGGCAGCAGUGGGGAAUAGUGCACAAUGGGCGGAAGCCGGAUGCAGCAACGCCGCGUGCGGGAUGACGGCCGUCGGGUUGUAAACCGCUUGCGCCUGUGACGAAGAGUGAGUGACGGUAAUGGGUAAAGAAGCACCGGCUAACUACGUG